GUUUGGGCAAAGGGGCCAGAGGCAGCAUCUUUCCCAGAGGAGCUCCCAAUCUUGAGGGACCAAUAUGCUCCCAGAGGGUGGAGCCAUUAGGUAAGGGGAGAGGCAGGGAGGCUGCUUCCUCUGGGUGGAGAGGGGCAGGGGGAUGAGAGAGAGGGGGCCUGGAGACAGGGGCCUGUGGCAGGAAGGAUUCUGACCAGGGAGUGGGGUGAGGGGCGGAGCGUUCCAGGAGGAGCAUUCCAGGUGUGGCGGUUGGACCCUGCAGACGGGGGCCCUAGGGCCCGGCAGAGGCCCGUGCGCAUGCGCUGAUCAGCUGACAGACCUGGUGUGGAAGUUCUGCACGUUGACAUUGCGGUACGGCGCCGUCUUCCGCUGGCACCACAGGA
This is a non-coding RNA of Equus caballus (horse), 383 nucleotides long. NCBI's taxonomy places the organism in Eukaryota, Metazoa, Chordata, Mammalia, Perissodactyla, Equidae. The record is from RefSeq and is a predicted model, not a curated record.